AGCGAACGUUAGCGGCGCGCCUAACACAUGCAAGUCGCACGAGAAAGGGAGCAAUCCCCGGUACAGUGGCGCACGGGUGAGUAACACGUAGAUGACCUUCCCUGGAGUGGUGGAUAACCUGCCGAAAGGCGGGCUAAUACAGCAUGGGAUCACAUGGUUUUGACCGAGUGGUGAAAGCGGGCCUCUGUUCACAAGCUCGCGCUCUGGGAUGGGUCUGCGUCCCAUCAGCUAGUUGGUGAGGUAAGAGCUCACCAAGGGCGAAGACGGGUAGCUGGUCUGAGAGGAUGAUCAGCCACACUGGAACUGAGACACGGGUCCAGACUCCUACGGGAGGCAGCAGUGGGGAAUAUUGCGCAAUGGGCGAAAGCCUGACGCAGCCACGCCGCGUGAGCGAUGAAGGCCUCGGUCGUAAGACGUCUGUGGGAGGAGGAAGAAGUAAAGACC
This 444-nucleotide ribosomal RNA is filed under the name uncultured bacterium. Its description in RNAcentral is "bacterial SSU rRNA". It matches the Rfam family "Bacterial small subunit ribosomal RNA", at positions 29 to 461 of the family's 1533-position model. The record is from RNAcentral.